AUUGAACGCUGGCGGCAUGCCUUACACAUGCAAGUCGAACGGUAGAGUAGCAAUACUUGAGAGUGGCGAACGGGUGAGUAAUAUAUCGGAACGUGCCCAGUCGUGGGGGGAUAACGUAGAGAAAUUUACGCUAAUACCGCAUACGAUCUAAGGAUGAAAGCGGGGGAUUCGCAAGAACCUCGCGCGAUUGGAGCGGCUGAUAUCAGAUUAGGUUGUUGGUGAGGUAAAAGCUCACCAAGCCGACGAUCUGUAGCUGGUUUGAGAGAACGACCAGCCACACUGGGGACUGAGACACGGCCCAGACUCCUACGGGAGGCAGCAGUGGGGGAAUAUUGGACAAUGGGCGAAAGCCUGAUCCAGCAAUGCCGCGUGAGUGAUGAAGGCCUCGGUUGUAAGACGUCUUUUACUUCGGGUACGGACGUAAUAG
This 427-nucleotide ribosomal RNA is filed under the name uncultured bacterium. Its description in RNAcentral is "bacterial SSU rRNA". It matches the Rfam family "Bacterial small subunit ribosomal RNA", at positions 30 to 460 of the family's 1533-position model. The record is from RNAcentral.